This 253-nucleotide ribosomal RNA is filed under the name uncultured bacterium. RNAcentral's name for it is "partial 16S ribosomal RNA". It matches the Rfam family "Bacterial small subunit ribosomal RNA", at positions 524 to 776 of the family's 1533-position model. The record is from RNAcentral.
UACGUAGGUGGCAAGCGUUGUCCGGAUUUACUGGGCGUAAAGAGCGCGCAGGCGGUCGUUCAAGUCGCGUGUGAAAGCCCCCGGCUCAACUGGGGAGGGUCACGCGAUACUGAUCGACUCGAAGGCAGGAGAGGGUAGUGGAAUUCCCGGUGUAGUGGUGAAAUGCGCAGAUAUCAGGAAGAACACCUAUGGCGAAGGCAGCACUCUGGGACGGUACUGACGCUGAGACGCGAAAGCGUGGGGAGCGAACAGG